AGUGAACGCUGGCGGCAGGCCUAAUACAUGCAAGUCGAACGGCAGCACAGCAGAGCUUGCUCCGUGGGUGGCGAGUGGCGGACGGGUGAGGAAUACAUGGGAGUCUGCCCAGUCGUGGGGAUAACGUAGGGAAACUUACGCUAAUACCGCAUGCGCCCUUCGGGGGAAAGCCGGGGACCUUCGGGCCUGGCGCGAUUGGAUGAGCCCAUGUCGGAUUAGCUAGUUGGCGGGGGUAAUGGCCCACCAAGGCGACGAUCCGUAGCUGGUCUGAGAGGAUGAUCAGCCACACUGGAACUGAGACACGGUCCAGACUCCUACGGGAGGCAGCAGUAGGAAUAUUGGACAAUGGGCGCAAGCCUGAUCCAGCCAUGCCGCGUGAGUGAAGAAGGCCUUCGGGUUGUAAACGCGUACUUUCGGUGGGAGAAAUUGCACAGGAUAAUACCUUGUGUAGA
RNAcentral lists this ribosomal RNA (452 nucleotides) under uncultured bacterium. Its description in RNAcentral is "bacterial SSU rRNA". It matches the Rfam family "Bacterial small subunit ribosomal RNA", at positions 29 to 472 of the family's 1533-position model. The record is from RNAcentral.